AUCACCAGUUCUCAUAUGAUCACCAAAGUUAAAUAAUGUCGAGCCUGGUCUGUACCUGGAUGGGUGACCACUUGAGAAUACCAGGUGUUGUAAG
Non-coding RNA from Acanthosepion pharaonis, 94 nucleotides. The record is from the annotation of a GenBank genome assembly. Lineage: Eukaryota; Metazoa; Mollusca; Cephalopoda; Sepiida; Sepiidae.